UCCCUGAUGUCUUAACGGUAAAGAAUCCACCUGCUAAUGCAGGAGACACAGGUUCAAUCCCUGGUCCGGGAA
This 72-nucleotide transfer RNA is filed under the name Bos taurus (domestic cattle). It matches the Rfam family "tRNA". From Rfam's summary of the family: Transfer RNA (tRNA) molecules are approximately 80 nucleotides in length. Their secondary structure includes four short double-helical elements and three loops (D, anti-codon, and T loops). RNAcentral also lists the same sequence under 3 other names. Lineage: Eukaryota; Metazoa; Chordata; Mammalia; Artiodactyla; Bovidae. The record is from Rfam by way of RNAcentral.